This 475-nucleotide long non-coding RNA is filed under the name Fukomys damarensis (Damara mole-rat). RNAcentral describes it as "lncRNA (ENSFDAG00000024641.1)". The record is from RNAcentral. Lineage: Eukaryota; Metazoa; Chordata; Mammalia; Rodentia; Bathyergidae.
AACUCAUCCAGGCUCUGAAGAACAGUUAGCAUUUUAUGCGAUAUUUAUGUGUGCACAAGGUGGGUAUAUGAAUCCAACGGAGAACUGGAGUAAGAUGCUAAGUCAUUUGACUGCAAAUUACAAAAGGUUUCCUUGGACCAGGGAAAACUGGGGAGUUCUCCUUUGCUACGAGAAUGUGUUAUAUUCUUCUGGGGCGGUGCUUAGGAGAAUAAUUUCAGGAAUGAGACCACCUGUGUCCACAUUCUGGCUCUCCCAUCAACACCGUGUGAGGCAGAACACGCCCAAGCUCCAUAACCCCUCAGGAGCGUGGAGAAGUAUGUGCACCUCCGUCCUUGUGAGGGUUAAGCGAGUGUUCCUGUGAACCAGGCAAUGCCCGGCAACUUGCUCCAUGCCCAUUGGCUGUUUUUAAAAUUCACUGAGGCGUGGGAAGUUUGAUAAUUUAUUCAAGACAGCUGGUUAAAUAAAUAGAAAUAAA